CGGUUGAUCCUGCCGGAGGCCAUUGCUAUCGGAGUCCGAUUUAGCCAUGCUAGUUGCACGGGUUUAGACCCGUGGCGAAAAGCUCAGUAACACGUGGCCCAAGCUACCCUGUGGACCGGAAUACCCUCGGGAAACUGAGGAUAAUUCCGGAUAACGCUCCCCUAUUGGAAUAUGGGGAGCCGGAAACGUUCAGGCGCUAAUCAGAUUAUGUCUGAUUGCGCAACGAGACGCUUCGCGUCUCGUCCGCGCCACAGGAUGCGGCUGCGGCCGAUUAGGUAGACGGUGGGGUAACGGCCCACCGUGCCUAUAAUCGGUACGGGUUGUGAGAGCAAGAGCCCGGAGACGGAAUCUGAGACAAGAUUCCGGGCCCUACGGGGCGCAGCAGGCGCGAAACCUUUACACUGCACGACAGCGCGAUAGGGGGACUCCGAGUGCGAGGGCAUAGAGCCCUCGCUUUUCUGUACCGUAAGGUGGUACAGGAAGAAGGGCUGGGCAAGACCGGUGCCAGCCGCCGCGGUAAUACCGGCAGCCCAAGUGAUGGCCGAUAUUAUUGGGCCUAAAGCGUCCGUAGCUGGCCGGACAAGUCCGUUGGGAAAUCCGCACGCUUAACGUGCGGGCGUCCAGCGGAAACUGUCCGGCUUGGGACCGGAAGACCCGAGGGGUACGUCCGGGGUAGGAGUGAAAUCCUGUAAUCUCGGACGGACCACCUGUGGCGAAAGCGCCUCGGGAAGACGGAUCCGACAGUGAGGGACGAAAGCCAGGGUCUCGAACCGGAUUAGAUACCCGGGUAGUCCUGGCCGUAAACGAUGUCCGCUAGGUGUGACGCAGGCUACGAGCCUGCGUUGUGCCGUAGGGAAGCCGUGAAGCGGACCGCCUGGGAAGUACGUCUGCAAGGAUGAAACUUAAAGGAAUUGGCGGGGGAGCAC
RNAcentral lists this ribosomal RNA (926 nucleotides) under uncultured marine archaeon. Its description in RNAcentral is "bacterial SSU rRNA". It matches the Rfam family "Archaeal small subunit ribosomal RNA", at positions 5 to 879 of the family's 1478-position model. The record is from RNAcentral.